Paramuricea clavata is the source of this 448-nucleotide non-coding RNA. NCBI's taxonomy places the organism in Eukaryota, Metazoa, Cnidaria, Anthozoa, Malacalcyonacea, Plexauridae. The record is from the annotation of a GenBank genome assembly.
UUGGGAUUGUAAUAUUUAUUUAAUUAGAUAUAUUAAUUAUUAAUUUAAGAAUUCAUUAUGCCAAUUGAUAUGCUAUAUGAUAAUAUGUUUGCCAACAAAGUAAAACGCCAAAAAUGUUUUUUUUCCCCCAUUUUUCUUUUAUGUCUUAUUUUUAUCUCUUCCAGUUCACCAUUUCCUGUUUCCCCCUUUCUCUUGGCCUUGAUAAUUUCGAAUACGAUGUUUGGUCGAAAAACGAUUUGUACGUUGUUUGGAGCUCGUGCAAAUCCAAGCGCUGCGGUUGACAGUUUGAAUUAAGAAACCGCAGCAAAAUAGAUCUGCGCCUGUGUAAGUCACUCGACAACGGAUGGCCUCCUCUAUUUGUUGCAUGCAGUCUAUGAGGCUACUGAUUGCGGUGAUGCAGAGACUCGAAUAUUCUUUGUUGAUUUCUCAAAGGGAUGUUAUCUGUUUG